GAUCAUGGCUCAGGAUGGACGCUAGCUACAGGCUUAACACAUGCAAGUCGAGGGGCAGCGAUGGUCUUAGCUUGCUAAGGCCGAUGGCGACCGGCGCACGGGUGAGUAACACGUAUCCAACCUGCCGUCUACUCUUGGACAGCCUUCUGAAAGGAAGAUUAACACAAGAUGGCAUCAUGAGUUCGCAUGUUCACAUGAUUAAAGGUAUUCCGGUAGACGAUGGGGA
This 226-nucleotide ribosomal RNA is filed under the name uncultured bacterium. RNAcentral's name for it is "partial 16S ribosomal RNA". It matches the Rfam family "Bacterial small subunit ribosomal RNA", at positions 15 to 231 of the family's 1533-position model. The record is from RNAcentral.